Long non-coding RNA from Diabrotica virgifera virgifera (western corn rootworm), 1440 nucleotides. RefSeq lists it as uncharacterized. The record is from RefSeq and is a predicted model, not a curated record. The transcript has 2 exons. NCBI's taxonomy places the organism in Eukaryota, Metazoa, Arthropoda, Insecta, Coleoptera, Chrysomelidae.
GCAGAAUUUUGUUCUGUCACUCAAAGUGGACCCGCCCCGCCCCCUCAUUCCUUGUGUUGUGUAAAAAGUUGAUUGUCAACAUAUUCGAAUUUUGUUAAUUAUUUGUUAAUACAAUGGAUGUUAAGUUAUUAAUUUAAUAAAAAUAUAUCAUAGAGUCAUUUCAAUAUUUCAGAUAAAUAUGAGUUGUUUAUCAGCCUAAUUCGUGGUUAUCCACACAUAUUUAUACGAUAGGUAAAUCCAAUAAACAUUUAAAGACCAGGAAAUGAAACAAAAUAGUUGGAAAUCCCACGGCAUGCGGCACCAAAGAGCAUACUUUCGUUUAUUUCCUAAUCCAUGUAACACACAAAACAGAUAAAUAUUAUAAUAAAUAAUAGUAUAAGUAUAAAUAAAUAAACACAAAGUUUGUUUACUGUUCGUUUAAUUUAUAGGCUAUGUUGUUGAAUAAUAAGUCAUUGUUUACUCUUUCUACUCAUGCGCAAAAAUUCCGCUACGUCGAUCUAUAAAUUGACAUAUUUUCUUCCGUCUCCAGUCCGUUUCUUACGUCUACGUUGCGUCUACGUCUACGCUACGUCAAACUAUAAAUCCAACUUAAGUGUAAGAAAUUCUAUGGACAUUUGAGUGUAAAAUGACAGCGGAUGUGACAGCGGCUCAUGACAGCGGACAGUAUUAAACGAAAAUUAUCGGUGUGCCAAUCAAGCAAAGGAACAAGGAACUUCCGAAUAUGGCCUAACUGGGGGCACAUAACAUAACCUAAUCCUAAUAUUUACAUUUGUAAAGAAUAUCCUGUUUGUUUUUAUUGUCGAUUGUGCAGCGAAAUUGUGAUAGCAAAUCAAAUAUAAAGUAGUUUAUCGCCUACAGAACUGAAUUAGUCCAUAGCAUAGCAGUUAUCAGUUUUUCUUUCUUGGGAAGCUUAUACAUGUAACUUUUAUUGUUGUAAAUUGUGGGAGUAGGGCAGACAGGGAAAAGUCUUAUUUUGUACUGUUCCCAAGGCUCCCCAUGCAAUACAUUUAAAUGAAUUAUCCAAACAAAGCCGGGGACAAUGGAUAAAAGCCACAAGAAGAACAGAUAUAAGGGAACUAAAAUUAAAAUAUGAAAAGUAAACAUUUUAUAAGUGGAACAACCACCAGAUAUUUAAAAGGUAUAAAAAGAAGAAACUGCUGGAAUUUCAAAACAAAUGUGUUUGACUAGUAAAGAUUUGGAUAAAUAACAGGAGUUACUUUGGGCUAUAGCUACGUGCAGAUUUAUUUCCUUGUGGCUUCCUAUGUUAAUUCUUAUUAAUUAUACACUUAAAUAUGUUUUUAGUCUCAGGAAGAUUUUAUAUUUGAUUAUUUUUGAAUAAACAUUAUUAUUAUUAUUACCUUAAUUUCCAUUAAAUAAAUUUACUGUAAUCAAUAAAGUAAUCGUUUAAUUGUUAAUAAAUUAUCAAGUAUGAUUCCCAAA